Molecule: unclassified non-coding RNA, 365 nt
Filed under: uncultured bacterium
Lineage: Bacteria
Description: contains 16S-23S intergenic spacer region
Source: RNAcentral
UCCCCGUUACCAGGGCGGUCUGAUUAGAAAAAUCCAACUAAUCACGAGGGUUGCGCUCGUUCAAGGACUUAACCUAACAUCUCACGACACGAGCUGACGACGACCAUGCAUCACCUGUCACUUGUCCAACUAAAUGACGUUCUAGUUUCCUAGAACUGCGACAAGGAUGUCAAGUCUGGGUAAGGUUCUUCGCGUAGCCUCGAAUUAAACCACACGCUCCACCGCUUGUGCGGGUCCCCGUCAAUUCCUUUGAGUUUUAGCCUUGCGGCCGUACUCCCCAGGCGGGAUGCUUAACGCGUUAGCUUCGCUACUGAACGGGUCGAUACGUCCAACAGCUAGCAUCCAUCGUUUACGGCGUGGACUAC